UACGUAGGGGGCGAGCGUUAUCCGGAUUCAUUGGGCGUAAAGCGCGCGCAGGCGGGUUGCUAAGCGGGACCUCUAAUCCUGGGGCUCAACCUCAGGCCGGGUCCCGAACUGGCAGUCUUGAGUACAGUAGAGGUGGGCGGAAUUCGUGGUGUAGCGGUGAAAUGCUUAGAUAUCACGAAGAACUCCGAUUGCGAAGGCAGCUCACUGGACUGCAACUGACACUGAGGCUCGAAAGUGUGGGUAUCAAACAGG
RNAcentral lists this ribosomal RNA (252 nucleotides) under uncultured bacterium. Its description in RNAcentral is "partial 16S ribosomal RNA". It matches the Rfam family "Bacterial small subunit ribosomal RNA", at positions 524 to 776 of the family's 1533-position model. The record is from RNAcentral.